CCUACGGGUGGCUGCAGUGGGGAAUAUUGGACAAUGGGGGGAACCCUGAUCCAGCCAUGCCGCGUGUGUGAAGAAGGCCCUCGGGUUGUAAAGCACUUUCAGUGAGGAAGAACGCCUGGUGGUUAAUACCCAUCAGGAAAGACAUCACUCACAGAAGAAGCACCGGCUAACUCCGUGCCCGCAGCCGCGGUAAUACGGAGGGUGCGAGCGUUAAUCGGAAUUACUGGGCGUAAAGCGCGCGUAGGUGGCUUGAUAAGCCGGUUGUGAAAGCCCCGGGCUCAACCUGGGAACGGCAUCCGGAACUGUCAAGCUAGAGUGCAGGAGAGGAAGGUAGAAUUCCCGGUGUAGCGGUGAAAUGCGUAGAGAUCGGGAGGAAUACCAGUGGCGAAGGCGGCCUUCUGGACUGACACUGACACUGAGGUGCGAAAGCGUGGGUAGCAAACAGGAUUAGAUACCCGUGUAGUC
RNAcentral lists this ribosomal RNA (465 nucleotides) under Vreelandella stevensii. RNAcentral's name for it is "partial 16S ribosomal RNA". It matches the Rfam family "Bacterial small subunit ribosomal RNA", at positions 338 to 795 of the family's 1533-position model. The record is from RNAcentral. Lineage: Bacteria; Pseudomonadati; Pseudomonadota; Gammaproteobacteria; Oceanospirillales; Halomonadaceae.